Molecule: non-coding RNA, 72 nt
Organism: Picea glauca (white spruce)
Lineage: Eukaryota; Viridiplantae; Streptophyta; Pinopsida; Pinales; Pinaceae
Source: Rfam
AGAAAUACACCUUGAUGGUUGAGUAUCACCUUGAUGAGGUGGAAGCCAUUAGUUCAAGCCUAAUUAUCCCUA